CAAUAUUGUAACUCUCCAACUACUCUACAUUUGAUGUGACGUCAUGGCUCAUUCUAACGCAUAUGAGUGUGUGAGAAAGAAAGUUAUUGAGGCAAAAUGGGAUAGUCUGUAGUGAAUAGAUUGUUUAGUUAGGCUUUAUUCUUUACUAUUGGCACUGAUUUAAAAGUAACACGAUGUCCGCUGCUCCAGGUUGUGUGCGUAAUGGUGCAUAAUUGUCAGGGCAGAUGCAUUGAUUUCGGAACUAGCUUAGACCAGAGUGGGCGCAUAGGGCAAAUGUCUAGUCAUCCUCUGUGACGAACAUCGAUUUAAUAUGUGACAGCAAGCCUAUUGAAAACCAUAGCCAACAUUUGAAGAAAUCAUGGUUAAUGGGGUUUGGAGUCAAACAGAACCUGUGUAGAUAAAUGGAAUAGGAAUACCGAAAGAUAACUGGCAAAUAAAUAGGAGUCAAUUAGACACCUACAAAACGAGAAAAAUGGCUGCGAUAUGCCUACAAUUUCAACAGACCUGUUGAUAAAAUGACCAUGGUGAGUUUUUUGUUAUUACAUGUAAGCCUCAGCCAUUGGCAGUAGGCUACCACGGAGCUAUGGAAAAUAUACAGCACACCAAAACGUUUCUUUGAAUCCAGUCAAUUCCACCGCACCAUGGAGAAAGGUAAACAAUGAGGCGUGAUUUGCUGUUGCCUUUUGCACCCUGAACCUGGUACCUUGGAUAGCGACGCUCGGGAAUCAUUUUACUACAGUAACGGAAUCGUUAGUGACGCGCCUCGCUAUGCUGUUCACAUUCGGGACGAAUGGCUGGCGAUUCCCUGUCUGGGACCCGACCUACACUAUCCAAUGGCUGGGGUAUGAGGCGUUCAAACGCUACACCAAGAACAUGCAGUGCAACGGGGGGAUGAAGGCGCUUCCUCGCGAGGAGGUGCAAGGCCAGGGGCUGUUGGACGGUGAUGACACCAUCCACCAAAGAUGUCCUCUAAUACAAUGACUUUAUCAAAAUUGCCAUCGAAAUGGAUGACAUGUCUCCAGACUUUGUUCCAUACCAGCCUGGAGUUUCACACCUCUGGAGUUGGAGACCCAAGUUUGGGAGCAGCAAAGACAGAGGUGGCCAUUACCUGAAAGAGAUAUCCACGCCCUGUGGUGCCAUCCAGGACAGAUAGAAAUGGCCAGGAGGUUCCGCACCCUACUGGACUCAGACCACCACCCCUCAGAGAUCACAGAAAUUCAUCGGUUCUGGAGUCCAGGAUGCCUACACUACACUCCUCAGUUCUUGCUAUGGAGCUGUUACCUGUCUGCCAGGGCAUCGAGUUCUGCCACCCGCUGCCUACCACAACACCAUUGGAGAAGGUCUAUGACCUUGUACGCAGUGUAACCAAAGCCCUGGAUCAAGGAUAGGGUCAUGUCACCAGACAUUGAUGCUGUCCAUCAUCUUCUUCUAGACCAGAAGGCAAGUGUGUGGUCAUUAUAGAUGUCACUCUGAGCCUAUAUUUAUACAAUAAAUAUAAAGACGGUCAUUUAGCAGAACGCUUUUAACCAGGUUUGUGUAUUUGAUGUCAUUUUCCAGGUGUGGAACGUGGCACAGCCAUAUAUUGAGAGUUACAGUAUAAACUGAGUGGUUCAAGCCCUGAAUGCUAAUUGCCUGAAAGCCGUGGUAUACAUUUAAUUUUUACUGCUCUAAUCAUGUUGGUAACCAGUUUAUAAUAGCAAUAAGGCACCUCAGGGGUUUGUGAUAU
Oncorhynchus gorbuscha (pink salmon) is the source of this 1726-nucleotide RNA transcript. It is a transcript of the gene named histidine ammonia-lyase-like, with no coding region annotated. The record is from RefSeq and is a predicted model, not a curated record. Lineage: Eukaryota; Metazoa; Chordata; Actinopteri; Salmoniformes; Salmonidae. The transcript is spliced from 7 exons.